Molecule: ribosomal RNA, 443 nt
Filed under: uncultured bacterium
Lineage: Bacteria
Description: partial 16S ribosomal RNA
Rfam family: Bacterial small subunit ribosomal RNA
Source: RNAcentral
CCUACGGGAGGCAGCAGUGGGGAAUAUUGGGCAAUGGGCGCAAGCCUGACCCAGCAACGCCGCGUGAAGGAAGAAGGCUUUCGGGUUGUAAACUUCUUUUGUCAGGGACGAAGCAAGUGACGGUACCUGACGAAUAAGCCACGGCUAACUACGUGCCAGCAGCCGCGGUAAUACGUAGGUGGCAAGCGUUAUCCGGAUUUAUUGGGUGUAAAGGGCGUGUAGGCGGGAAUGCAAGUCAGAUGUGAAAACUAUGGGCUCAACCCAUAGCCUGCAUUUGAAACUGUAUUUCUUGAGUGCUGGAGAGGCAAUCGGAAUUCCGUGUGUAGCGGUGAAAUGCGUAGAUAUACGGAGGAACACCAGUGGCGAAGGCGGAUUGCUGGACAGUAACUGACGCUGAGGCACGAAAGCGUGGGUAUCGAACAGGAUUAGAUACCCCUGUAGUC